Molecule: ribosomal RNA, 492 nt
Filed under: uncultured bacterium
Lineage: Bacteria
Description: partial 16S ribosomal RNA
Rfam family: Bacterial small subunit ribosomal RNA
Source: RNAcentral
AGUGAACGCUGGCGGUAGGCCUAACACAUGCAAGUCGAACGGCAGCACAGUAAGAGCUGGCUCUGACGGGUGGCGAGUGGCGGACGGGGGAGGAAUACAUCGGAAUCUACUUUUUCGUAGUGGAGAUCGUAGGGAAAAUGACGCUAAUACGGCAUGCGACCUACGGGUGAAAGCAGGGGAUCUUCGGACCUUGCGCGAUUGAGUGACGCGAUGUCGGAUUAGCUAGUUGGCGGGGGAAAGGCCCAACAAGGCGACGAUCCGUAGCUGGUCUGAGAGGAUGAUCAGCUACACUGGAACUGAGAAACGGUCCAGACUCCUACGGGAGGAAGCAGUGGGGAAUAUUGGACAAUGGGCGCAAGCCUGAUACAGCACUACCGCGUGGGUGAAGAAGGCCUUCGGGUUGUAAAGCCAUUUUGUUGGGAAAGAAAAGCAGCAGGUUAAUCCCCCGCUGUUCUGACGGUACCCAAAGAAUAAGCACCGGCUAACUUCGUG